This 794-nucleotide ribosomal RNA is filed under the name uncultured bacterium. RNAcentral's name for it is "bacterial SSU rRNA". It matches the Rfam family "Bacterial small subunit ribosomal RNA", at positions 8 to 796 of the family's 1533-position model. The record is from RNAcentral.
AGAGUUUGAUCAUGGCUCAGAUUGAACGCUGGCGGCAGGCUUAACACAUGCAAGUCGAGCGGAGAUGAGGUGCUUGCACCUUAUCUUAGCGGCGGACGGGUGAGUAAUGCUUAGGAAUCUGCCUAUUAGUGGGGGACAACAUUCCGAAAGGGAUGCUAAUACCGCAUACGUCCUACGGGAGAAAGCAGGGGAUCUUCGGACCUUGCGCUAAUAGAUGAGCCUAAGUCGGAUUAGCUAGUUGGUGGGGUAAAGGCCUACCAAGGCGACGAUCUGUAGCGGGUCUGAGAGGAUGAUCCGCCACACUGGGACUGAGACACGGCCCAGACUCCUACGGGAGGCAGCAGUGGGGAAUAUUGGACAAUGGGGGGAACCCUGAUCCAGCCAUGCCGCGUGUGUGAAGAAGGCCUUAUGGUUGUAAAGCACUUUAAGCGAGGAGGAGGCUACUGAGACUAAUACUCUUGGAUAGUGGACGUUACUCGCAGAAUAAGCACCGGCUAACUCUGUGCCAGCAGCCGCGGUAGUACAGAGGGUGCGAGCGUUAAUCGGAUUUACUGGGCGUAAAGUGUGCGUAGGCGGCUUUUUAAGUCGGAUGUGAAAUCCCCGAGCUUAACUUGGGAAUUGCAUUCGAUACUGGGAAGCUAGAGUAUGGGAGAGGAUGGUAGAAUUCCAGGUGUAGCGGUGAAAUGCGUAGAGAUCUGGAGGAAUACCGAUGGCGAAGGCAGCCAUCUGGCCUAAUACUGACGCUGAGGUACGAAAGCAUGGGGAGCAAACAGGAUUAGAUACCCUGGUAGUCC